Molecule: long non-coding RNA, 1240 nt
Filed under: Pongo abelii (Sumatran orangutan)
Lineage: Eukaryota; Metazoa; Chordata; Mammalia; Primates; Hominidae
Description: lincRNA
Source: RNAcentral
CACUCCUGUGUUGGAGAUGCAUCGACUCACAUACUGCAUAAAUAUUUUAGAUUUUACUGUGAAGCAAACAAUUCACUCCUCAGACCCUCAUUCACCCAAGUCCACAUCUGGACUUGAGGUUUGGCUUCUCUGGUCCUAACUGGGACUUAUCUGACCCUGACAGGAGAUAACUUCAGUAGGGACUUUGCCUAAUAGCGAGCAUGCACACUUCAACUUGGCUUGCUCUGAAGGUAACAUUUACUCAUUAUAAUGGUAAAAAAAAAAAAAAAAAGCCCCUGGGUGGAGAUUUCAGUCAUUACUAAGACGUGUGAUGUAUGUACUAGCAUGUAUCACCAUAGAGCAUGUGCUCCCAGGAGACCACCCAAAACGUGUUUGCUAGUAACACCCCUUCCCAACCCCUUUCAUGAAUAAUCAUAUAAGACCCUCAUAAGGGAGCUUCCCCAGUGCCGAUCUACGCUGUCUCUUUUUCCAAGCAGCCCACUCUGACUUGGCUUUUAGAGUGUACUCUCUCUUUAAAUAAACUCUGCAGCUGCUUCACUGUCACUGCUCACUUCUUGGCUGAAUUCUUUCCUCCAAAAGACAAGAACUGAAGACCCCACACCUCCUGGUAACAUUACCAACUCUUUCUCCUUUUUCUCUGGAGCUGGUGCUCAGAUGGUGAGAGCCCUGUGCUAAUGGUCCCAGGGUGGGAGCCUGUUUGCCCCUGUCUGGUCCUCAGCAAUGUCCUUGGUUAGCUGCCUGGCAACAGCUGUCGAUUACCAGAGGGAACAAGUGAUCAGCACCUGAGUCGAUCACCUCACAGAGGAGCUGAGUGGACGGGGUCAGCUCAGGCCUCCCGGACCAGGGCGGGAAUGUCCUGUGAUGGCAGGUCAGUGUCUUAGCUACCUUUGAGGCACCUCUUCAUAGACUGCAGGGAUCAUUUAGGUAAAAAUAUAGCCUGCUGAUUUUUACACCUUGCUGAAAAUCUUUGCUAAUAGCAAUUGUUAGCUGUGACAAUUACCAUUGUUUUUUAUUUUUCAUUUUGUUCCUUAUUACUGAAGAUAUUCUAUGGAGCUUUAAAGCCUCCUGCAGUAAGAAACUAGUAAAGAAACAUACUGUUUGCAGGAAGGAAAAUUACCCACAAUUCUUGUUCUCUAAGGUGCGUGGUUAUCAUUCCAACAGCCAUUCUCAGCAAUGAACUGAGGACCCUCAGAUGUGUUUCAUUCCUUAGUAUUUUAAUCCUCUCCUCCACUCUCAAUUG